CGUACUACGAUAGAGAUGUUUUGUGAAAAAUCAGUGUCCCCCGUGUAUUCAUGAGCACACGAUGAAGUCGCAAACGAGCACGAUCCUUGUCGCUUGUCUCGCUAUCGUGAUGUCUAACAAUUUUGGAAUGGGUGUCGAGGUUUCGUCGAUGGUCGACUUGGAUUCCGAUGAAAGUGAAGAGACGCUGAGCAAUGCAACCUUGGACACAAUCGUAGAUCAGGACGAAUCUACUGGUCCAUUGGAAUCAGUCUUGCGUACGCCCAAGCCAGUUGUAAUCGGCGGACGUCGUGGAAGCGGGCUCGUAAAAGCAAGUGAACCAAGAAAAAGAAGAAUUUAUUCUUGGCACGAUGCUACAGUUAAGCAACCGAAAAUUAUCAAUAACAUUCACAUCGUAGUAAAUGGCAACGACAGUGUGCCAAGUGCAACAAAGUCUUGCAAACGUAGUGUAUGUAACGUCUCCGUUUCUUCGGAAUCAGACGAGAAUGGUAAUAUUGUAACCGAGGUGCAUCUUAGCAUUGUCACGAGCGCGGAAUCGGACAACAAGAUCGAUGAUGAUGUUCCGGUAAUUGACGGUCUUCGAGGUCUCGGCAAGAAUCAUGACGAGCAUCCAGUUUUUUCAGUAAAUACGCCGAAGCCGGUAUAUUCGCAUUUACAUCGUGAAAAUAUCCCACAGAUUCAAGUCAAUUAUCAGGGAUAUGGCGAGCCCUGGUAUCAACAUCGACGAAUUUUUCAACGGCCGCGAGGAUAUUGGAGCUAUAAUUCCGCGGGAUUUCGAGGGUACAAUACACGGCCGCGACCCAUUGAUGAUAAAAUUGGACCACCGCUUAGCAAAACCAAAGCCAGUGAUACGGUAAAAUGAAAUAUUCACUAUAAUAUUGUGAAAUUUUUAUGAUAAAUACGUUACUAUACAAAAGAAAAUUGAAUCGCGAUAUUAAAUGCUAUUUCGCGUAGUCACAUAAUAAAAUAAAUCAUUAUAAAAGCA
Ooceraea biroi (clonal raider ant) is the source of this 982-nucleotide long non-coding RNA. RefSeq lists it as uncharacterized. The record is from RefSeq and is a predicted model, not a curated record. NCBI's taxonomy places the organism in Eukaryota, Metazoa, Arthropoda, Insecta, Hymenoptera, Formicidae.